UCAGGAGCGAACGCUGGGCGGCAUGCUUAACACAUGCAAGUCGCACGAACCUUUCGGGGUUAGUGGCGGACGGGUGAGUAACGCGUAGGAAUCUGUCCAUGGGUGGGGGAUAACUCUGGGAAACUGGAGCUAAUACCGCAUGAUACCUGAGGGUCAAAGGCGCAAGUCGCCUGUGGAGGAGCCUGCGUUCGAUUAGCUAGUUGGUGGGGUAAAGGCCUACCAAGGCGAUGAUCGAUAGCUGGUUUGAGAGGAUGAUCAGCCACACUGGGACUGAGACACGGCCCAGACUCCUACGGGAGGCAGCAGUGGGGAAUAUUGGACAAUGGGGGCAACCCUGAUCCAGCAAUGCCGCGUGUGUGAAGAAGGUCUUCGGAUUGUAAAGCACUUUCGACGGGGACGAUGAUGACGGUACCCGUAGAAGAAGCCCCGGCUAACUUCGUGCCAGCAGCCGCGGUAAUACGAAGGGGGCUAGCGUUGCUCGGAAUGACUGGGCGUAAAGGGCGUGUAGGCGGUUUGUACAGUCAGAUGUGAAAUCCCCGGGCUUAACCUGGGAGCUGCAUUUGAUACGUGCAGACUAGAGUGUGAGAGAGGGUUGUGGAAUUCCCAGUGUAGAGGUGAAAUUCGUAGAUAUUGGGAAGAACACCGGUGGCGAAGGCGGCAACCUGG
This 666-nucleotide ribosomal RNA is filed under the name Acetobacter sp. VTH-AK19. RNAcentral describes it as "bacterial SSU rRNA". It matches the Rfam family "Bacterial small subunit ribosomal RNA", at positions 24 to 732 of the family's 1533-position model. Lineage: Bacteria; Pseudomonadati; Pseudomonadota; Alphaproteobacteria; Acetobacterales; Acetobacteraceae. The record is from RNAcentral.